UACGUAGGGAGCGAGCGUUGUCCGGAUUUAUUGGGCGUAAAGAGCGCGUAGGCGGCUUGGUAAGCCGGAUGUGAAACCCCCAAGCUCAACUUGGGGCGGCCAUUCGGAACUGCCAUGGCUAGAGUCUGGUAGGGGAACACGGAAUUCCUGGUGUAGCGGUGAAAUGCCUAGAUAUCAGGAGGAACACCAGUGGCGAAGGCGGUGUUCUGGGCCAGUACUGACGCUGAGGCGCGAAAGCGUGGGGAGCGAACAGG
Molecule: ribosomal RNA, 254 nt
Filed under: uncultured bacterium
Lineage: Bacteria
Description: partial 16S ribosomal RNA
Rfam family: Bacterial small subunit ribosomal RNA
Source: RNAcentral